Molecule: ribosomal RNA, 987 nt
Filed under: uncultured organism
Description: bacterial SSU rRNA
Rfam family: Bacterial small subunit ribosomal RNA
Source: RNAcentral
GGGUCUGAGAGGAUGAUCCCCCACACUGGUACUGAGACACGGACCAGACUCCUACGGGAGGCAGCAGUGAGGAAUAUUGGGCAAUGGACGCAAGUCUGACCCAGCCAUGCCGCGUGCAGGAUGACUGCCCUAUGGGUUGUAAACUGCUUUUGUUUGGGAAGAAACCCCCGAUCGUGAUCGGGGCUGACGGUACCAUACGAAUAAGCAUCGGCUAACUCCGUGCCAGCAGCCGCGGUAAUACGGAGGAUGCAAGCGUUAUCGCGGAUUCAUUGGGUUUAAAGGGUGCGCAGGCGGAAUAUUAAGUCAGUGGUGAAAUCCUGCAGCUAAACUGUAGAACUGCCAUUGAUACUGAUAUUCUUGACUAUCGUUGAGGUGGGCGGAAUUGUUGUAAUGUAGCGGUGAAAUGCUUAGAUAUUACACAGAACACCAAUUGCGAAGGCAGCUCACUAAACUAAUAUUGACGCUGAGGCACGAAAGCGUGGGUAGCAAACAGGAUUAGAUACCCUGGUAGUCCACGCUGUAAACUAUGAUCACUCGCUGUUGGCAAUACAUCGUCAGCGGCUGAGCGAAAGCAUUAAGUGAUCCACAUGGGGAGUACGGUCGCAAGAUUGAAACUCAAAGGAAUUGACGGGGGCCCGCACAAGCGGAGGAACAUGUGGUNUAAUUCGAUGAUACGCGAGGAACCUUACCUGGGCUUAAAUGCAGAGCGACGUCCGCCGAAAGGUGGAUUCCUUCGGGCGAUCUGCAAGGUGCUGCAUGGUUGUCGUCAGCUCGUGCCGUGAGGUGUCGGGUUAAGUCCCAUAACGAGCGCAACCCUNAUCGUUAGUUGCCAGCGGGUAAUGCCGGGGACUCUAACGAAACUGCCGGUGUAAACCGUGAGGAAGGUGGGGAUGACGUCAAAUCAGCACGGCCCUAUGUCCAGGGGCUACACACGUGUUACAAUGGUCGGUACAGAGGGCAGCUACCACGCGAGUGGAUGCUAAUCUC